RNAcentral lists this ribosomal RNA (436 nucleotides) under uncultured bacterium. Its description in RNAcentral is "bacterial SSU rRNA". It matches the Rfam family "Bacterial small subunit ribosomal RNA", at positions 355 to 787 of the family's 1533-position model. The record is from RNAcentral.
UAAGGAAUAUUGGUCAAUGGACGCAAGUCUGAACCAGCCAUGCCGCGUGCAGGAGGACGGCCCUAUGGGUUGUAAACUGCUUUUAUACGGGAACAAACGUCGGUACGAGUACCGGUCUGAGUGUACCGUAAGAAUAAGGAUCGGCUAACUCCGUGCCAGCAGCCGCGGUAAUACGGAGGAUCUGAGCGUUAUCCGGAUUUAUUGGGUUUAAAGGGUGCGUAGGCGGCGUGCUAAGUCAGUGGUGAAAGACGGUGGCUCAACCAUCGCAGUGCCGUUGAUACUGGCGCGCUUGAAUUCGGAUGAGGUAGGCGGAAUGUGGCAAGUAGCGGUGAAAUGCAUAGAUAUGCCACAGAACACCGAUCGCGAAGGCAGCUUACCAAGGCGAUAUUGACGCUGAUGCACGAAAGCGUGGGGGAUCGAACAGGAUUAGAUACCC